AACGAACGCUGGUGGCAUGCCUAACACAUGCAAGUCGAACGAUCCCUUCGGGGAUAGUGGCGCACGGGUGCGUAACGCGUGGGAACCUGCCCUUAGGUUCGGAAUAACUCAGAGAAAUUUGAGCUAAUACCGGAUAAUGUCUUCGGACCAAAGAUUUAUCGCCUUUGGAUGGGCCCGCGUUGGAUUAGCUAGUUGGUGGGGUAAAGGCCUACCAAGGCGACGAUCCAUAGCUGGUCUGAGAGGAUGAUCAGCCACACUGGGACUGAGACACGGCCCAGACUCCUACGGGAGGCAGCAGUGGGGAAUAUUGGACAAUGGGCGAAAGCCUGAUCCAGCAAUGCCGCGUGAGUGAUGAAGGCCUUAGGGUUGUAAAGCUCUUUUACCCGGGAUGAUAAUGACAGUACCGGGAGAAUAAGCCCCGGCUAACUCCGUG
Molecule: ribosomal RNA, 433 nt
Filed under: uncultured bacterium
Lineage: Bacteria
Description: partial 16S ribosomal RNA
Rfam family: Bacterial small subunit ribosomal RNA
Source: RNAcentral